This 387-nucleotide ribosomal RNA is filed under the name uncultured bacterium. Its description in RNAcentral is "bacterial SSU rRNA". It matches the Rfam family "Bacterial small subunit ribosomal RNA", at positions 28 to 417 of the family's 1533-position model. The record is from RNAcentral.
GACGAACGCUGGCGGCGUGCUUAACACAUGCAAGUCGAGCGGUAAGGCCCUUUCGGGGGUACACGAGCGGCGAACGGGUGAGUAACACGUGGGUGACCUGCCCUCAGCUCUGGGAUAAGCCUGGGAAACCGGGUCUAAUACCGGAUAUGACUCCAUGACGCAUGUUGUGGGGUGGAAAGCCUUGUGCGGCUGAGGAUGGGCCCGCGGCCUAUCAGUUUGUUGGUGGGGUGAUGGCCACCAAGGCGACGACGGGUAGCCGGCCUGAGAGGGCGACCGGCCACACUGGGACUGAGACACGGCCCAGACUCCUACGGGAGGCAGCAGUGGGGAAUCUUGCGCAAUGGGCGAAAGCCUGACGCAGCGACGCCGCGCGAGGGAUGACGGCCU